CCUGCCCUCGCCCAACAUGGCGGCAGCACAGCCUCUUCCGCCCUUCCGAGCCAGGAGUGCAGAAAAAGGUGAAACUGCCAUGAAAAGGAGAGGAGGAGUGUGUGAGUGAGUGAGUGAGUGAGAGUGAGACAGAGACAAGGAGCAUCCUAGUAGAGAUGGAAGGGGAACCCAAGGGUCAUCUAGUCCAACCCUCUGCAAAGAAGCUCAGAGCUACAAUUCCCAGGUCUUCUUUGGGAAUUCUAUGGGAAGUAAGAGUUUCUACAUUCAUGAGCAUUCACUUAGAGUGCGCUCAUGUUUUUACCUUUUAUUGAAAGCGGCCACAAGUGACUUGGGUGGAGUAUAAAUAAUAAAAUUAUAUUGCUCCUGCUGCUGUUCUUCUCUUAGCCUAACUCAAAUCCAACCCAAUACCAAACCUUAACCCUAAUGCUCACCCUAACUCAAACCUAAUCCUCACUCUAACCCUAACCUUAACCCAAACCUAAGCCUCAGUCUAAACCUAAGCCUAAUUUAACCCUAACCUUAAGUAAUAAAAUUAUAUUUCUCAUGCUGCUGUUCUUCUCUUACCGUAACUCAACCCCAACUCUAACUCCUAAUCCUAAUCCAACUCAAACCCAACUCUCACUGUAACCCUAACCUUUACCCAAACCUAAUCCUAAACGCUUUGCUUCUUUUUGUGGUGUUUUGUGUUAUUGCUUCAUUUUGUAGGUCAUGAGGCUUUCUUUGUUUCUUGUGGUGUUGCUUCAUUUAGCAGUUUUUUAAUUGGCUCUUGUGUUUCUUUUGGUAUUGCAUCAUCUUCAUAGGUUGUUUGGAUUUCUGAUUAAUUUGCUUUGGAUUUCUGGUAGCUCUGCUUCUUUAUGAUUUGUUUCUGUGUUUCUGGUGUUUUGGCUUGGUUAUGUCAUAAAAUUGAAGAAAUACCACCAGAAGCACAAAAACCAAGAAAUAUUCCCAAAAUGAGGCAAAACCAGGAGACAUGAAAACCAAGAAACAAUCUCACCCAGAACCGCAGAACCAUUCAAAGUAAAAGAAGCAAAACAAUUGCAAAAAACAAGCAAAACCACCCCAAAUUAAACAAAUCAGCAGAAAACAAAAAAGAAGCAGUAAAGCCACCAAUUACAAAGCAAUGCCACAAGAAACUGGAAACCAGUUUUUAAAAAGCAAAACCAGAAACUCAACAAGCAUGCAAUUUAUGGGAGUCCAAAAGCACUUCAAGCAACAGAAAUUAACCAACAUAGCAUACUAGUUUUCACUUAGUCUUGGGUUUCUGGUGAAUGUGCUUCGUUUGCAGCUGGCUUCAUUUCUUUUCCAUUGGUUUAGCUUGUUUUUUGGACUUUUGCUUUAUUGCUUCUUUUGAGAAGUUUUAUUGUUUUUGCAUUCUGGUGGUAAUACUUUUGAAUGCUUUGGGGGUUUCUGGUGAAUCUGCUUUGUUUGGGAUUGGUUGGCUUCUUUGUCAGUUUCCAUUGAUGUUGCUUUUACAUGGUUCUUCUGCUUCUUUUCAGUAGGUUUUUGUGUUUUUAGUGCUUGACUUCAUUGUUGGAAUGGUCAUUAGACAUUUCUGGUGGUUUUGCUUCAUUUCUCAUGGUUUUCCUUUUAUUCUUGGGAUUAUCAGAUCUCAUACAAAUUAAUAUUCUCAAAGGUGCAAAACCCAAAAAACCUAGAAAUGAAGCAAACUCACCAUAAAUCCAGCACCCAAUCUGUUAUGUACUAACCUUGGAUCCUAGAAUGCAACAACUGAUUGGUCUUUUCCUGCAGGCCAAUCAGGCUCCAAGAGGGAAGCAGAGUUAGCCAGUCAGACGGGACUCAUUGUGUAAAUAAUGUAUAUAAAAGCCUGAGGUUGGGGGGGUGGCAAUAAAGAGCAUGAAAUACAUACAAGACUCUGAGUAUAUUUCACAAUCGUAAUUUAUAUAAAAGAAUCUAUGAAACGAAAACCACAGAAAAAAUUCAACAUAAUCCCAAAAACAAACCAGAAACAACAGAAACAAACCACAUCCACCAAAGAUGAGAAAACCAAUUGAAUAGAACCACAAGAAACCCACGCAGUAAACAUCUCAGGGAAAAGCAAAAUCACCCCCACACCAUGCAAAACUAAGGUUUAACUGGCUUUGGGGUUUCUGCGCAAUUUACUUUUCCCCUCUUGUUGGGGGUUUCUGGUGGUAUUUCUUCUGCUUCUCACAUUUCUGCUUCUUUUCCAUUGGUUUUGGGAUUCUGGUGAAUUUGGUAAUGAUUUGAUUGAAGUCUCUGUCUGGCGAUUUUCCUUUUUCAUGAAUUCCUUCCUUGUUGGGUUUCUGGUAUCUCACUUUUGGUUUUCACAUUUCUCUUAGUUUUGCUACGUUUCAGGUAGUUUGCUUACUUUUUGGAAUUAUCCAGUCUCAUAAAAAUGAAGCAAUAUCAUUAGAAGCUUAAAAAGCAUGAAAAAAACCCCAGGCACUAACCCUAACCCUGAACAUCCACCUAUCCCCUGCCCUAACCCUAACCCUGAUAUUCUGGUCAUCCAUCUUGGGGAUAACAAUCUGGUGAGGUAAAUUCAGUUGAGAUCACUAAAUAUCUCCAUCAGCUGUGCUUCCUCAUCCUUGAGCUUAUCAUAGUUUGGUUUGGAAUGUUGUAGAGGUGCUUAUGGAGUGGGGGCAGCCUUCCUAAGAAGGUGGAUGAGCAAGACAUAAAGCUAAUCAUUCUACAAUGACGUUUGUGUCUGAAAAUGUGGGUGCUUAUAUCCCUCAUGGCAGAGUUAUGUUCUGUGCCCCACAGUUGUAUAGACCUGGUGGUAUGCAUCUUUCUGAUUUGGGUUGUGACAUGAUUCUUAAGGAUCUGCAAAGAGCUCUGUUUGAGCACUUGUGUGUUUGUGGGUGGAGGUGAACAAGCACACCUGCCCAGACUUAGAAUCAUAGAAUCAUAGAGUUGGAAGAGACCACAAGGGCCAUCGAGUCCAACCCCCUGCCAAGCAGGAAACACCAUCAGAGCACUCCUGACAUAUGGUUGUCAAGCCUCUGCUUAAAGACCUCCAAAGAAUGAGACUCCACCACACUCCUUGGCAGUAAAUUCCACUGUCGAACAGCUCUUACUGUCAGGAAGUUCUUCCUAAUGUUUAGGUGGAAUCUUCUUUCUUGUAGUUUGGAUCCAUUGCUCCGUGUCCGCUUCUCUGGAGCAGCAGAAAACAACCUUUCUCCCUUCUCUAUGUGACAUCCUUUAUAUAUUUGAACAUGGCUAUCAUAUCACCCCUUAACCUCCUCUUCUCCAGGCUAAACAUGCCCAGCUCCCUUAGCCGUUCCUCAUAAGGCAUCGUUUCCAGGCCUUUGACCAUUUUGGUUGCCCUCCUCUGGACACGUUCCAGUUUGUCAGUGUCCUUCUUGAACUGUGGUGCCCAGAACUGGACACAGUACUCCAGGUGAGGUCUGACCAGAGCAGAAUACAGUGGCACUAUUACUUCCCUUGAUCUAGAUGCUAUACUCCUAUUGAUGCAGCCCAGAAUUGCAUUGGCUUUUUAGCUGCCGCGUCACACUGUUGGCUCAUGUCAAGUUUGUGGUCAACCAAAACUCCUAGAUCCUUUUCACAUGUACUGCUCUCAAGCCAGGUGUCCCCAUCUUGUAUUUGUGUCUCUCAUUUUUUUGCCCAAGUGCAAUACUUUACAUUUCUCCCUGUUAAAAUUCAUCUUGUUUGUUUUGGCCCAGUUCUCUAAUCUGUCAAGGUCGUUUUGAAGUGUGAUCCUGUCCUCUGGGGUGUUAGCCACCCCUCCCAGUUUGGUGUCAUCUGCAAAUUUGAUCAGGAUGCCCUUGAGUCCAUCAUCCAAUUUGAUUUGGUUACAUUGGUCAAAUCUGACUAGUUUUGCCGAUCCUCAAGUUGUUAUAUUUAAUAAAUAUUUAAUAAAUACAACCUAUUUAUCCACUUUUGGUUGUCUUGACUCUUCCUCCUGAUGUGCUAGGAACCACUCCGUUUGGGGGGCACUGCAAAACAUGCGGUUUUUACUGCAAACAUUUGCCAGACUUUGGCCUUGAUUUGGAGUGAAUCAGGCGAUGUUGGGUUUUGGGGUGACCUUAUGACCCCUGUCACUUACUUGGUUUGUCGGGCAAAAUGCUACAAAAAUGCUACAAUGUCUGGCAAAAUGCUACAAAACUUUUGCCAGACUUUGGCACCAGUUUGGAGUGAAUCGGACAAUGUUGGGUUUUGGAUAUUAAUUAUGAACCCCGGUUUGAUGUAUCAAUUACUCUGUUUAUGGGGUGUUACAAAAUGUGGGGGUUUUGCUGCAAAACUUUUGCCAAACAUCAGUUUUGAUGGGAUCCCAGAUUUGGGGGUUUGUAGUUAAAUGAAGCAUUCUUUCAGUGCUUCUCGGGAAAUGUGCAGUUUCCGUCAGAUCAAACUAAUACUACUGGAUAAAAUUAUAUGAUUGUUGAUUAUCAGACAGUUCUCCCAUUUAUCAAGGAAAACGUCUGUUAUGGGUGGCUUUUGCUUGGUGUGUGUGACUGUUGACAGACAGAUUUGAAAAGGAACACAGCUUCCUCUGUUUGUCUCACAGUAACUUACUGGCCUUUUUGAUUAUGCAGUCGGUGCGUCUUGUGGUCUGGUGCGUCUUAUAGAGCGAAAAAUACGGUAAUUCCAGUUGAUUUGUUUUAAUGGUCACAUAAAGGCACUUUCUUUGGUUAUAAAAUGAUGUUGUGAGUCUUAUAUCUGAGCAGUCAAUAAACUCCCUCCCCCACAGAAACGCUUGUCUUACUUCUUCUUCUUCUUGGCAUCCAUACUUACAUGUUUGUUUAAAGAAAGACUAACCCCACCCUGAACCCCACCUCCAGCUUUCAUCUUAUUAUUCUAGUGACUAGUCAGUGUUCAUAGCAACACUUGCUUUUGUUCCUAGACAAACUGCCCUGAAAGACAGUUACUAUGAACUACAUGUGUCUUCUUGAUAUAUAAGGUUGUUGCUAGUUUCUGCAAAACACUUCUUUAUCUUUCAACAAGAAAUAAAUGAAUAGGAGGCUGCUCUAAGGAAGAAGUGUGAUUGCAUCUGGAAUAUCAGACUCUCUGUAUUUUUAUUUAUUUACUUGAUUUAGGGGUGGCCACUUCACCCCCUGGCUAUGCCCAUGUCCCCAACUAACUGAGCUUCUUGGGAUCAUCCUGCCAUGCUGUGAGCUACUACAUUAUCCGGCACUUUACAGAACCUUCCUUAGAGAAUAAAAACCUGAGGCGAAUUUCAAGUCUAAACAGGCUACACAAAAAGAAACAGCAGCGAUUCUUUAUGUUUGACUUGUGCUUGAGCGCCUGAUAUCUCAGAAAAUCAACAUCAGUGUUGGGGUGGGUGGGUCAGGGCAUUACCAAAAUGUUAUGAUAGAUGGAGCCAUGGAUGUGGCCAAGGGGGGCCAAAUAAAUAAAAAUAAAUAAAAAUACAUAGCUAACUGAGGUUCUGACCCCCUAACAAAAGGCCUGCCCCCACUAACAAAAAUCCUGGCUACGCCCAUGGAUGAAGCCAACUACAGUAACUCUGGUUUUGUCCCCACCCAGAAGUGUAGCAUGUGUGGGCCGUGGGGGCACAAAUUUGUGGCAGGGGGCACAAACAGGUGCCCCCAAAGCAGGCUCCCUCAUUGGUGCCUGGCUCCGCGUGAGAAGGAGCUGACCUAAGCUGCUGUGCGUCUGCUGGCCACAGCUCUGUCCUUAGGUUAGGCCUGACCCAGGGAAGAGAGCAGGAGGGUGGGUGGCCGCAGUGCACCUCGCUCCCAGUCACAGCAGCAGCUCCGCCUCCGGGUCACGUCUGACCUGGCGCACUCAAGGAGCCUGAGCAGCAGCUUCCCUCCCCCUCUCCUCCCCUGGACAUGUGGGGCAUGCCCCUCUCCCCUCGUUGAGUUCUGCAAAGGCAGCCCUGAGACUGAGGAGGAAAGAGCUCACUGCUCAUGCCAACCCUAGAGAGGAUGUAAGAAAGAAGCAGGCUGUUGGAGGACAGCCAAGAAACAAUUGAGCUUGGUGGAGCAGUGCCCCAGUCCCCCUUAAGGACAAGCCUCCACUGACAGGGAGCAAGAAGGAAUUUUAAAUGGCGAAAGACAGGAGUGCCUGGCGUGCUCUGGUCCAUGGGUCACGAAGAGUCAGACACGACUAAACGACUACACAACACAAUAUUGGCAUGGGAACUAAAAUAGCUCAAUGUUGCAAUUUGUCUACCCUACUUAAUAUUUACCAUUAAGGAAAGUAUAAAGUCAUGGAGUAAAUCCUUUCAGCUUGUUGAUGUGAAGCAGCAGACCUCAAUCUGAUACUGCAAAUGUUAUAGAAUUAUUGAAUAUUCAGAAGUAUACCUCUCCACCACUCCUUAGUCAGGCUAGUUUUGGGCAUUUAUGGCAAGAUUAUCCCAAGUGGAAAGGAAUAAUGUAUUUUCACUGUUAUGUAUUCAGUGGUCUGUCUUUGCUUCCCAUUGUCUCAGGAAUUGGGUAAUUACCAUCUCAAAGGAAUGGCCAGACUACCAGGAAAGGCAAUCAGAUAAGGCAUUAUCAGAUAACCUGGCAGACAGGAAAAACAACGUUCACAUUUCUAUUGUAGAAAUUUCCCUUUUCUGUGAUGUAGGUAUGAUGUUUGUGGGGGUGGUCUUGAGUUCCAGGGUAGGGAAUUUCAAAAUGGCAAGCAGACAUUGUUCGCAGUCCUCCUCCUCUCUCCUGCGUGUGGGUGGAGCACCCUGUUGCAACAGUUUAAUAAAGAUCAGGCUUACUAGCUGCUUUGCUUCUCAAUAUUCUCUGGUUGGCCUCUGUUAUUUUCUCCUACCGAUGGAGAACCUACAAGGUUCUCCAAUAAAGGAAUAAGGGCAGAUUUUGUUUACAACAACACAAAGCCAUCUGAAACUGUCGAAUAAACUGCAAGAGCAGCAAUAGAAAAUUGCUUUCACACACUAAAAGUUCCCUGCAACUAGAAAGCCAGCAAAGCAGGGGAAAGGCUAGCUUUUUUAAUUGACAAGUACCUUCUCUAUGAUGUGGUAGGCUUUGGUUUUUACGCAUAGAAGUGUUAUUCCCCACCUGUAGCUUGAGGUAGUAUGGUCCAUUUGGCCACCUCAUUCUGCUGCAUAUGGUGAUUGCUGGAAUUUUUAAUUCUUAAGGAAACAUUGUGUCUAUUUUUCCCACAUGAGAUGUUUCUUUACUUAUAUCAAUAAUGUUAUGAAAGACUUGUAGCAUGCUUCAAGCUGAUUAGCACUUGGUGGCUGUGAAGCUUUAAAUACAAAACAGACACAUAGUGAAAGGAUUUCUACACACUGAAUUUUUUAUUUAUUUCACAGAGCAAUUGCUUUCAGCUUUGCAGAGGAGCCCGUAGUAGCCAAACUACAGUACUUCCGGGAGAGCUGUGAAGCAGAGCUCCCUCCACUGGCUCUGCUGUGACAGGACAGCUCCCUCAGGCCUCCUCUCCCCACAACUGUUAUCUGGGGCAGCCAUCAGUGGGAGAGCUUUGCUGGAGGCCCAGCUCCUUCAGGCACCUCCAGCCCCUGAACUGUGCCAGCUGGUCAACAUAGGAACAACUGUUUAGUGAUUUGUGACUGAGAUUUGAUAUUCCUCUUCCCUCCCUGCCCCCUUUGCCUGUGGGUAGGGACCAUCUUGCUUUGAUUGCAUUUAAGUUGUCUGGUGGCCUUGUUGGCUGAACAGCGAGGCACAAAUGUUCCAAAUAAAUAAAUCUCUAUACACAGUAUAGAAAAUUAGUGAUCUUUGUAAUGUGUGAUUUUGUAGUACUACUUUGUAGUAGGGUGGCCAGAUACCACAUAGUAUUUGAGCAAGAACAGAAGACCAAAUAAGUGAAUAAGGCUAAAACCGGGGUGGGGGGUUGGGGGUGCAAAUGUGAUUUACAAAUUAUGUGCUAUAAGAAACCAAGAAACCUCCUGCUGGGUCAGACCAAAAGCCAAGAGCCUUUCUUCCUCCAGUAGCCAAUCAGAUGCCUCCAGGAAAGCCAGCAACAGCCCUCCCCAAUUGUUGCUCCCCAGCAACUAGAAUUCAGAGACAUACUGCCUUUGUACAAGGAUCUAUCACUUCUCCUUUGGGCAGACCACUCCUCCAUGAUUUUGUCUGAUUCCCCUAUAAGCCAGUGACCAUGAGCACAUCCUGUGGCUUUUUAGUACCAUGCAUUCAUUAUGCACAGCAUGAAUAAAUACUUUGUCCUAUUCUGCUGCCCACUUAUUCCAAUCCAAAUUGUACAUUUUAAAAACUUCUCUAUAAGUUAAGAAUGCACAUGAUUUGCAGUGCAUGUUUACUCAGGAGUAAAACUUAAGUUUAGUAGGACUUGCCUAGGAGUGUAUAUAAGACGACAGCCAUAUUCUGUUUUUGUUGGUCAUGGGGAAAUGCACUGAACUAUUGAUUCUAUAUGGAUGCUUCAGUUGCGAAUCCUGCACUGCACUACAUGACCCUUGGGGUGCCUUCCAACUCUACAAUUCUAUGAUUCUAUGAGUCCCUCCCCAUGGUUGCUGACCCACUUUCUGGUGCCUGAGAUUUCAUCAGUUAUUUUGCACACACUUUGAAGGCUCUUCUUUUGCUAGAAUCCUUUUGUUGAAAUGAAACCUGAGGUUACCCAGAUGCUGAAUUCCACAUCCACCCUCCAAAUUUUGAUGGCUUUUCCUUCACUUGCCCCACCUAAGUCACGCUUGGUCCUAGACAAAAACAAAACUUUAUGGUCUAAUACUGUGGUGAAAUUUAUCAGUGUGAAUUGUUUUCUUCAUUUUUUGGGAACAGAUGUGGUGAAGCAGUGGGGAAAGAGAACCUCAGACCAAUGAUCGAGAGGAAGAUCCCAGAGCUGUAUAAACCUAUUGUGAAAGUUAACAGUAUUUGAAGGCAUAAGAAUAGCCCUUUCCCCCACACGCCCAAUAACCAUAGCAAAAUACAACAUAGGAUGGGGGUAAGCAAUAUGGUUCACUCCAGAUGAUCAGCCUCAGUUAUCAUGGCCAAUGGUAAUUUUCUUCUUAUUUAUUUUAGGGGCUUAUUCUAGUUUUAGGAAAUAUGAAAAUCUGCCUCCACAGAUAAGAGCAGCUUCAUGAAAAGGAGCUAUCUACUUGCAGUGGAUCAAAUACUAGAGGAUAUACAAAUGUUGUUUGAAGUCAAAAGAUUUCCCUUCUCUCUGUACUCAACAAUCACAUCUUCUAAGGGAGGGGAUAUUGAAACUACUUGCAGAAAAACAGAUAUUUUAUUAUAAAUUGACAUGGAUAUUUGCAUUGUCAACACAAUGUUCCUUGUAUGUAUGUAUGUAUGGGUAUCUAUGAAACUUCAUCUGUGGAUGUUUGACCAUACCAAGCUCAAGGAAAUGUUCCUGAAUGCAACCCAAAGCCCCUUCUGCGCAAUCAUGAAUUUGCAUCAAUGUUACAUAUAAGCACAUUCACCAAGCAGCAGAUACGAACAGUUAACCAAAACAAAUCAACCCAUUUUUUAAGCACAUUUCUAUUGCAUUUAUUGUGAUAAGAAACUUACAGACAUUUGUAUCUAGAUUCCAACUUAUAUAAAAUUAUUGUUGUUUGAAUGGGAAUAAUCUUAUUGCUUGAUGGAAAGUACUGCAAUGGAUCUGGUAAUAACUUUUCUCAUGGAAGUGGAUGCCAUUAUGCUUUUUAACAAGUAAGAUAAAUUUGCAUGAGGAUAAAACAAUGCUCUGUAAUAUUUAAAUCUCAUUGGAUGGAGGCCACACAAAUGCAAAAUGGAGACCACUCAAGUGAGAACAAUAAAACUCCAUUUACUGCAGAAGUUAUAUUUCUUCCUAUGGGCUACAGGGAUUCAUUCUAGUUAGAAUAUUUUAUUAUUGUAAUUAUAAUUGUUAUUUAAAAGUAGCACUAUAUUUCUUCUAAUACUUGAAAUACAGUGUUGGUUCCUGACUUUUUUUUUUGCUUCAUGUUGGGUGGGACUCAUUUCCCUUCAGUUCAGUGUUCACGAGAGGCAAGGUAAAAGCUUUGCAAAUUUGUAUACAUAUAUGUAUAUGGUAGGGACGCGGGUGGCGCUGUGGUCUAAGCCACUGAGCCUCUUGGGCUUGCUGAUCAGAAGGUCAGUAAUUCGAAUCCCUGUGACCCAUUGCUCGGUCCUAGCUCCUGCCAACCGAGCAGUUCAAAAGCACGCCAAAAAGUGCAAGUAGAUAAAUAGGUACCGGGACUUGCGGGUUAGCGCCAUCGGCGAAUGGCGGAGUUCCUCCGACCGGAGGAACUGGCUCCGUGGAAACUGGGUCUUCCCGCCACGGCGAAGGUGGGGACCCGCUAGAAAUCCCAGGCGGAGGAAGCCUGGGAACGUGGGGUUCAGCAGGGCACCAGGAGCGCCUCCCCUACUCACGGGGAACCCCAUUUCGGGGUUCCGGAGUGAAGUGGGGUGAGUGGCGCGGUGCUGCGAACUGAUUGCUACUUUCACGGAGUGAAGCCGCACAGCCAUUGCCGGAGAGCGCUGACUUUUUCCUGUGGACAAUUGGAUUUAAAACAAGUACCCGUGAGUAGAAACGGAAAAUUGGAUCAAGAAAUACCCUAAUUUGGCACCGAAGCGGGAAGGUUCAAACAGGAAGUCCGCCUUCCGCUUUUUGUACAUAGACUGAAGCAAAAACCUUGUAAGCUAAAGUCCGGAAAGUCGUUAAAAAGUCUAAAUUUCCUUCAUUUAUAACCACUAACACCCCCUUGGAAGCAGGAGAAAAGGGGGGGAUCUUUGUUUAAGCCUGCAGGAGAGGGAGUGAAGAAAGAUAAGCUUCCACCGUCUCAAACCUGGGAACGGGGGGUCAGAGACAGAAAUUGUUGGAGAGGUUCAUUGACUGUGAAUGGAAUACUUUAACAGAUAGCUAAAGAAGAGAAAUAAACUGAUUCCAGUGUUGCCUUUUGCAUUCUAAAGAAACAAAAUAUCUGAAAAAUGAAAGUAAUUUUCCUUUGUUGGACUUAAAAAGAUGGAUACAAAUAGAAAUUGUCUCCUCUAGAGGGAGCUUGUUAAAUUGUUGCUGCAGUCUACUUGAGGACUCUACAGCUGUGAGAUUAAGAUCGUGGGACCAGUCCUUUUGACCUCGAAUAAAAAUGAGCUGGGAGGAAGUUUUGGUGCUUGCUUUAUGCAAGACAAAUGCUUUGUUGGAACAGAUGCAUGAGAAGAUGGAUCUGAUGAAUGAGAAAACGGAUUUGAUGACUGUUGUGGUCAAUAACUGUGGACAAACAGGGAAUAUUGAUACAGAAACCAUUCAGGGACCAACUCAGGAACCUGUAUUGAUGGGGCAAGUGCAGAAGAUAAUGGAGAAGGUUGCGGUUGCACCUCAAAUAAUACAAAUGGAGAGAUCCGAGGCCCUGCAGGAGCAUAAGCCGUUGUCUUUGAAGAUUGAAGUUGGAGUGGUCCAGGGGGAGUCUGGAGCUGAGGAGGUUCUUAACUUCGGAGGGACUUUGAAAUAUGCUCUUAAAUAUUUUUUGGAUUACAUUGAUGACUGUGGGGAGUGGGACUGUGGGAAAUGGGCUGGUUUGAUGAAGGGAGAUGGAGAUAAUAUUGGGCUGGAACUUCCCAGAGACCUACUCCUCAAUGAGAAAGGAAAGAAAUUAAGAAAGAGACCAACAAAAGACAAGGAAAAGUGCAGGUAUAAACAAGAAGAAGAAGAUCUGCAGAAGGGACAUGGAAGAGACUUAAGAGCCUCGGAUAUAAGAUUGAUGGACUAGAUGGAAUGGACAGUAAGGACUGACAUGACCCGAGACCAGGAAGAAGAGACGCUGGAUGAAGAUUGGAAGAAAAUUUAUAAAGAAAAAUUUUUAUUUAGGGAAUUAGCCUAAAAUUAAUGAAUAUUAGGGAAAAUGUUGGAAUGAAACUAUAUGGCUUUAAUAGAAAUGAUAUAAGGAGUUAUGUAUAAUUGAGUAUUAAGUUUCAAGCUCUAAGGUAUUUUACGGUAAGAUAAGGUUAAAUAAAUUAAGGCAAUUUGAAUAACAGAAUAUGGGGAAAGAUGGAAAGGAUUUGUUGAGUUAAUUAAUAGGUUAAAUUGUUAAGAUAAAUUAUUCAAUAAAAAUUGAGAAAGAUAGAAAGAAUUUGCUGAAAUAACUAAUUAAACUAGAAUACAAAAAGGGAGGUGUGCAGAGGUCAAUGAAAUAAGGAAAUGGAAGUUAAGAUAUGUAAUAUGGGAUUUGUGUCUUUUUUUUGCUUUUUUUGCUGUAUCGUUGUAUUGGUUUUUAUGCUUUGUUUUUUCCCCCUUCUUUUUUAUGUAUUGUAGUGUUGUUUCCUAUUUUUUCUUUUUUUCCUGUAAUUCUGAAACUUUUAAUAAAUAUUAUUAUUAUUAUUUUUUAAAAAAGAUAAAUAGUGUAAUAAAUGUAGAGGUUACUCGUGCGCAAGUUGGUGCCACUCCUGGCUAGUUUGCCUUGUCAAACCUUUUCUGUCUGGACAGCCCUACACUUCGUGGCUGCUCAGUCGCUAGCAGAGUCCGUCAGUGGGCGUUUCUUAAACCUUUUCCAGCAUAAAAGUUGUUUGACUCCAAGUCUCCUCCUACUCUCCCUGCGCGGAAGUCUUCUGCGCAGGGAGGGCGUGGGUAGCGGAGGACCCAUGCUCUCCUCGCUGGUCUCCGGCGAGGAGUCCUGGAGCCCUCUCGCCGAUUCCCCCAUCUGCCCCCCCUUUAUCCCUGGUGUUAGGCUGAUUUCCUUCCCCAGCUGGUGAGCCGCCUCUCCUCCUGCUGGGCCCUUCUCCAGCAUCGCUUGAGAGCCUCGCCUCCGCCUCUGGCUCCGAUGUCAGUUCCCUGACAUCCACCUCCCCCCCAGGACCCCCUUCACCCUCGGCCCAACCUUUGAUCCAACUUCGUCCCUUUCCUCGGCCGACGAUGCGGGGAAUCCCCGGAAGGAGCUGUCGCCAUCCUCUGAGGACUCAAAACCCGCUUCCCACCCGCUCCGAUCUCUCCCCGCAGGGUGGGCCUCCCCGUCUGAUUCUUCUUCCUCCGAAGCCUCUCCUCCCUCCUCUUCGGAGGCAGAAAAACCCACAAAAUCCUCUUCAUCGUCUGUGGUUCCAAAUUGCUCCUCCCAGAAUCUUGCUAGUGGUUUGGGUUUGUCCGGGAACAGGCUGUGGAAUUCCUCCACAAGAUACCCGUCAUUGAUUGCCUCCGCGGGAACCCACGUGUUUUCCGACCCGGGUUCUCCCUCCCAAGCUACCAGGUACUCCACCUGGCGCCCUCGCCACCUUGAAUUGAGUAUUUCCGUGGCCCUGUUGUGGUGUUCCCUCUCCUCUAUCUGCGGGUGUGUGGUGACUUCGCCUUCCUGCCCCGGGACUCCCCGCCCCUCCCGGUACGGUGAGAGUAGGGACCUAUGGAACACCGGGUGUAUCUUCAUGCUGUCCGGCAACUUGAGUUUGAAUGCCACGGGGUUCACCUGCUGUGUUACCUCAAACGGCCCCAGCCGCCUUGGCUGCAACUUCUUGCACCCCCCCUUAAAGGGUAACCCUUGGGUUGACAACCACACCCGGUCCCCCACCCGUAUGGUCUCCCCUUCUCUAUGGUGCUUGUCUGCCUGCCUCUUGUAAAUUUCCUUGGCCAGUUCUAAGUUCAUCUUAAGUUGCUGGUGCAGGGCCUCCAUUUCUUCCACAAACUGCUCUGCCACAGGUACGCUCCACCCUUCCUCCCCACUCCCCGGGAAGGCCCUGGGGUGACACCCAUAAUUGGCCAUGAACGGGCUCAUUCCCGUGGACACAUGUUCAGCGUUAUUGUACGCAAAUUCAGCCAGCGCUAGUUUCUUUACCCAAUCGUUCUGCCUCUCGCUGACGUAGCAGCGUAGGUAUUGCUGGAGUACGCUGUUCGCUCUUUCUGCUUGCCCGUUGGUUUCCGGAUGUCUCGCCGUCGAGAAGCUCACCUCUACCUGCAGCAAGCUCAUGAGCUUCCUCCAGAACCGGGAAGCCCUUUCCCCCUUUGCCCUUUGGCAGCGGUCGCACCCCCAUACAUAUUCCCGCACAUCCUCCCUCACCCCUGGCCACCAGAACUGCCUGGUGAUGAGCAUCAUGGUUUUGUGCUGUCCAAAGUGCCCAGCUGUGGGGUUGUCGUGGAGUUGUUUGAGUACCUUUCCCCUCAGGGUCUCCCCCGGUACAUACAGCGCCCCCUUAUAGUACAGCACCCCUUCCUUUUCCUCAAAGCCCGGCCAGUUCUCGUUUCCCAACCAAGGCCCCUCCACACACCCAUCGGUCCUCGGGGAUCACGUGUCGUAUCUCCGGCGGUCCCUCUCCUUCCAUGUACUCCGGCUUCCGGGAGAGAGCAUCUGCUCUUAUGUUUUCCUCUCCUGGCACGUAUCGGAUUUCGAAGGAAAACUUGGAGAACUCCUGUGCCCAUCGAAUCUGUCUCUGGUUGAGUACUCUUGCGGUCCUCCAGUACUCCAAGUUCUUGUGAUCAGUACAAACCUGGAUCUUGUGCUGUGCCCCUAUCAGCAGAUGUCGCCAUCGGCGAAACGCCGCAUAGAUCGCAAGCAGUUCGCGGUCGUACACCGUAUAGUUUUGCUCCAACUUGCUCAGCUUCCUCGAGAAAAAGGCACACGGCUUCCAUUCCUGCUUGCUCCUCCCUGGCUGCAAAAGAACCGCCCCAAUGGCUCUGUCGGACACGUCGGUCUCUAGCCUCAUGGGUUUUUCCAGAUCAACGUGCAGGAGCUGCUCUUCCGAAGCGAACGCCUUCUUCAGUCUUUCAAAGGAUUGCUGGGCACUUUCUGUCCAGACAAACUUCUUUUUGCUACUGAGACAAUCUGUGAUGGGCGCUGUCAAGUGGGCGAAGUUCUUGAUGAACUUCCUGUAGAAGUUGCUGAACCCUAGGAACCUCUGCACGUCCUUCCGGGUUUUGGGGGCCUUCCAUUCCAGCACCACCUGCACCUUGCUUGGGACCAUAGCUAGGCCUUUGUCUGACAACUUGUACCCCAGAAACUCGACUUCUCUGGUGUGCAACUGACAUUUUUCCAGCUUGACCCACAACUGGUGCUUCUGCAGUCUCUUUAGCACUUCCCUGACGUCUCUGACAUGUUGCUUCUCAUUGUCCGAAUAGAUUAAGACGUCGUCCAAGAAGGCUACGCAGUUCUUGUACAGCAGGGACCCCAACAUGUGGUGCAUGAAAGCUUGAAAACAGGCGGAGCCCGACUGUAAUCCAAAAGGCAUAACUAAGUACUCAAAGGCCCCCCAGGGGGGUGAACAUUGUGGUCUUCCAUUCGUCCCCCUCCCUCAUCCUAAUCAAAUUGUAUGCUCCCCUGAGGUCCAGCUUGGUAAAAAAUUUUCCCUGCCUCACCCGUGUUAAAAUGUUGUCAAUCGUGGGCAUUGGGAAGGUCACGGGUUCUGAUACCAAAUUUAACGCCCUAAAAUCUACGACCAAUCUGGGCUGGUUAUUUCCUUUUUUGUCCACAAAGAACACUGGACUGCCCCCCACUGCCUUUGAUUCCCUUAUGAACCCCCUCUUCAGGUUCUUGUCAAUAAACUCCCGCAACUCCUUCAUCUCCCUGUCCGACAUGGCAUACAGUUUACCCACUGGCAGCUGAGCCCCUGGGAGCAAGUUGAUUUGGCAGUCAAAGGGUCUAUGGGGGGGUAGUCUAUCCGCCUCCUUCUCGCUGAAGACCUCCUGCAGGUCAGCAUAUUGUGGUGGCACCUCCCCUUUCGGCUCUACCGCUAUCCCAGCCACCCUGGCCACGGUCAUCCUUGGGGUUUCCCCCCCUAGACAGUGCUCCAAGCAGUAAGAUGACCCAAAGGUGACCGUCCGCUGAUGCCAUGCCACUACUGGAUCAUGUAGUGCCAGCCAGCUCAUCCCUAAUAUUAUUGGGGGUCCUGCCAGUGUGGCUACGUGAAAGGCAAUGGUCUCCGUGUGCCUGGAAACCCUCAUUCUCAUUGGUGGGGUGUGGUGCGUCACUUCCCCUCCCAGAAGCUCCCUGCCAUCAAUGGUGGUCACUUGCAAGGGAAAAUCCAGGGGCAGCAGGUGGAGCUGGUGCUCUAGGGCGAAGUCCUUGCUGAAGAAAUUGCAGGAACUGCCUGAAUCCAACAGCCCCUUCACCUUGACUGGGUGCCCAUUUGGGAGUUCUAGCACCACUUCUAUGGCUAUGGCCGCUCUGGGGGGGUCUGGCUGGGGUACUUCUAUUGGCUGCUGGCCUGGCUGCUGUGCCCGCAGAGUGGCAGCCAAGCGUUGGCGUUUCCCUGCUCCUGCCCCUCCCCCCCUCCUCACCUCCAGCAGCUCCCACCAUUCCUUGCCAGGCCUUUCUUUGAGGGCAGACCCUGGCAAAAUGUCCUGGCCGCUGGCAGAGGAAACACUUCUUAUUAGUUUUCCAAUCCUUUCCCUCCUUUUUGCGACCUUCACUGGAGUUUGAAACCUCCCCCGCGCGCGCCAUCAAUUUCCAUUGGCUCCACUGGCGGGGAAGGCUGCCUCGGUAUUUCAGGAAUGCGGUAGUCAUGGCAACGUUCCCAUCUCCUUUCGCUCUUCUCCUGAGCCCGCGCUUCCUGUCUUACGCCAAUCGCAAGCACAGCCUUGGUCAGCUGAUCCAUCAACUGCGGGCGGGGCACGCGGGAAAGCUCGUCCUUCACCGUUGGGGACAAUCCCUCCUCAAAUAACAUCUGAAUGGGUUCCGAGUCCAAUUCCCACCCGAGCCGGUGGACUAACAUGGCAAAGCGCGACCAGUAGUCUCUAACUGACUGGUUCCCCUGUUUACAACCCAUCAGUUCCCGCCGAGUCACACUUUGCUGCACAUCACUGGAAUACAUCGCAUCCAUCGCCUGGAAGAAUUUCCUCAGGUCUUUCAAGGCGGCAUUUUGCGUCGCCAUUAGGGGCCUGAUCCAUUCCCUGGCCCCAUCCUGCAGAUGCCCGACAAUGUAGGCCACCCUCUCCCCAUCGUCCGCAAAAUACUUAUGUUGCAGUUCCAAAGCGUAUUCUAUUUCCGUUCGGAACGCGUUGUAGUCCUGGGGCUUCCCCCCAAACUUGUGUACCAGUCCCGGUACCUUCCUUGCUACGGGGGUGGGUCUGACCUGUGCAUCGUGAGCCCGCCUUUCUUCCAACCGUGCCGUGAGAAGAGCCACAUGCUGUUCCAAAUCUCGGUUCCUCUCCACCAGAUUUUGCACUCCAGCUGCUCCCUCCGUGGCGCCGGCUCCUCCGGUUUGGCUCAUUCUGCUGCCUGCCUGUCGCUGCGCACAAGCAAUGUCAAAGACUGACGGAUUGCUGUAAUAAAUGUAGGGGUUACUCGUGCGCAAGUUGGUGCCACUCCUGGCUAGUUUGCCUUGUUAAACCUUUUCUGUCUGGACAGCCCUACACUUCGUGGCUGCUCAGUCGCUAGCAGAAUCCGUCAGUGGGCGUUUCUUAAACCUUUUCCAGCAUAAAAGUUGUUUGACUCCAAGUCUCCUCCUACUCUCCCUGCGCGGAAGUCUUCUGCGCAGGGAGGGCGUGGGUAGCGGAGGACCCGUGCUCUCCUCGCUGAUCUCCGGCGAGGAGUCCUGGAGCCCCCUCGCCGAUUCCCCCAUCUGCCCCCCUUUAUCCCUGGUGUUACGCUGAUUUCCUUCCCCAGCUGGUGAGCCGCCUCUCCCCCUGCUGGGCCCUUCUCCAGCAUCGCUUGAGAGCCUCGCCUCCGCCUCUGGCUCCGAUGUCAGUUCCCUUACCUCCGGCGGUAAGGUAAACGGCAUUUCCGUGAGUUGCUCUGGUUUCGCCAGAAGUGACUUAGUCAUGCUGGCCACAUGACCCGGAAAAACUGUCUGCAUACAAACACCGGCUCCCUCGGCCUAUAAAGCGAGAUGAGUUCCACAACCCCAGAGUCGUCUGUGACUGGACUUAACUGUCAGGGGUCCUUUACCUUUUUUAUGUAUAUGGUACUGUGAAAUGGUACUGUUUUGGAGAGUAUUGUGGGAACUUUUAGCACUUAGCAGUUCUUUUGUUCUUAAAUGGCCUAAAAUUAAUCUAUGAAAUUAAAAAAUGUAAAUAAAAUACUGUAUUAACAGGGGAAAGAAGAUUUUAUUUAGAGUCCAAACAUCACUGUUUUUCUCUCUUCCAAACACCAUGCUAGAAAAAGUUAGAAUUAAAAAUUAAUCUGCUAAGCGUUGUUUUAAGUGAUCCUGAUUGUACAUUAUGGAAAUUACCCAGUGUUAAAUAGAUUUAUAAUUGUUAGGAAGCUGAUAUUCCUAUUAACAUCAUGUAUAUUUAAUUGCUUCUUUGGAGUUAGUUGUAAAAAUUGAUUCUUUAUUUUUGUGGUGUGUGCACAGGAAGUUUUAAGAAAAGGCAAGGCUUGUGUGCACCAUUUGCUUUAAUUGCCUAAGACCUGGGGCCCUGAGACCUCCAUUGGUCUUGGGACAAUAUAAAGUCUGACAUGUCACUCUGCUUCUCCUUCCAAAAAUAAAAUUGUUAAGUAAGUGAUGCCAGUGAGACAGUUGGGAAAGGGGGAUAAGUACAGGUAAGGUCUGAAACAAGAACAGGAAUUGGGGGAGUAUGGACAUCUUUAUGGCUGCUAUAUAACCUAGCCAGCUUAAGUUUAGGUUAGGGUUGCCAUAUUUAGAAGAGCAAAUAAAGGACAAUUUGCUAGUGGGGUGGGUGGGUGGAAAAGUGCAUGUGCUGGGGUUACCAGGCGCUGGAGUGACAUCGGAGGGAAGAAAGCAGCAAAAUUUGCAUGCAAAAUGGGGGGGGGGGGGGCAUAUAGAAAGAAAGAAAGCUGCCAGUUUAAUAGUUUUGUUCAAUAUUAAUAAGUUGUUUAUUUUAAGAGUGGGGGAAGGAUUUAGAUACCUACCAUAGUGAGGAUCUGAAGGCACAUGUAAAAGAGGGGGAAGUGUUGCAGCUCACUACUUCUGCAAGCAAAAGAUCCCAGAUUCAAUCCCCAGCAUCUCUUGGUAGGACUGGUAAUGAUUUUUGCCUGGAAAGCUUCUGCCAGUAAGUGUUGGCAAUUUUGAUCUAGAUGGACUAAUGGUUCUGAUAUGCUUCCUAUAUUCUAAGAACCGACAAUGGAUUCCAAAGCUGUGGCAUGUGCUGUUGUUGCAGAAUCCUAGUUCUGUAAUUUGAAUGACUGCUAAAAAUACCAGAAAAUUAAAGUUUGGUUCAAUUGCCCUUUCCCCUUACUUAAGAUGGGCUGUUCACUUUUUUAAAAAAUAAUGCUUUUAAAGCUCUGUAUGUUUAUCUUUUAAACCAUUAAUUCAUCAAAUACCUUUCUUAAAUGUCUGGAAAAGAAUAGCUUUCCAUUUGCAAAAGAGCUUUCAGAUUAGCCCCACUAUAAGAUUAUGCUUUGCCAAAACUGGGUGUGCCUACUUGGGACACCUGUUCUCUCUGCUUCAUCAAUUUUGUUCAGAUUUUAUUUUUAGGGUCUCAAACCCACCUCUAACGGGGGGAACAAGUGUAUUGGAGGAAAGGCUGUAGCCAGGGUUGCCAACUUGAAUAAAAUUUGAGGGGCAGGUCAGCCCCCCCCCUACUUUAUCAUUGAUGACAUGACAUGGUGCAUGCACAUACUAGCUGUGGAAUCUCGACUGUAAUGUUUUAAUUCAUCUCGCCUCUUGUUCAGAUCAGAUAUGAAACAAAAAGCCCUCUCCAUGAGAAGACUUGAUUAGUCAAACAAAGCAGGGAGAAAUCCUUUACUGGGCAAUUAAAUUCACUUAAAACCAAGAAUUGAGAAGAAUGGCCUCUGGUUUCAUCUAUCAGUCUUUCAGGAUGAUGGAUUUAUCAUGCAAGGAAUGUGCAGUUUUCAUUCAUUUGUUGACUUUAAAAUAGUCAGCAUUUAAAUGAGCAUUUCCCCUAAUAUAGCUAAUUUCUGCAAGCAAUUUCCCCUAAUAUAAUGCAUUUCUGUAAGUUAUUUUCACAAACACCUUUAUUUUCAGAAUACACAUUCGUGUAUUUUCACAACUUUGUGAAACACAUUUUUGUUUGGAGAGUUGCAUCUCAAAAUUUUGCAUCUCAAAAAUUAGAGAAGUGUGAAUUUUGAAGGAUAGUGACAUGUUAAUUCACUUUUUGCUGGCACUUAUGGGCUCCCUAGCACCACAUGGAGCUUGUUCAGAACCCUGAAAAAUAAAGCAAGGGCUUCUUCUGGUUGCUUGGGGGGCAUCUAUUUUGGAGGGGGAGGGCAGACACUGCUUUGUGGUGGGGGGCAUAGGAAUUUUGCUAGCUUUUUUUGUGGGGUGGGUGGGUCUAAGCAUUGCCAGCUGCUCUUGUGAGAAAGUGGUAAACUGUGGCACCCAUAAUAGUUUCUCAGUUUUCCUGAUGUGCUUCCAGGGCCAAAAAAGUUGUGCUUUAUUUUAAGUAGGUAAAGUCAAGUCUAUGUCUGGUUUAAAAAGAAACAGUUGCAUCCAGUGUAGAGCUAAGUAACUCAUCCUAUCUGUGCAAGUUCGCUUGCACAAUGGAAACUCCCCCCUCUUCUCACUUCCCCUUGAAUUUAUUCUAGAGUUCCCUUAGCAUCCCCCCCCCCCCGAGCAGAUUUGGAGAGGGCAGGGGUGCACAUGGGAGCUGGGAAUGGGGGGAAGUGCUGUUGCACAAGCAGAAAUCCUUGCACUGCCACCUAAAGGUGGGAGCAGGGGAGGGAGAGAGUUUAUAUUUGUUCAACUGAGAGCAGCCAGGGAGCAGAUUGAGCAAGCUCCUAGGUCAAUCUGGUGCUGCUGUGAUGAGAUGUAUCCAGUUUCCAUUUAUAUUAUAGUAAUUAUUUCUACCUUUCCACCGAUACAUAUAGAUGAGCACAUAAACAUUUUGUGCCAAUUUGGUUUUUUUUUUGUUUGUUUUUUUGGGUAGUGCUACGUCAUUGGCCAUCCUAGCUUAACCCCCAACGCAGAAAAAGCGCAAGCUUUUAAAAAGUUAUAAUUGCUUCUUUUGUCGUGUUCCGGACACUCUUGAGAAAGCUCAGAAUCCCGGAGCCACCUGUCCCUCUCUCUUCCAGGAAAGAUGGCGGGUUUGGAGAAGUGGAUUCACUUGGCUUCGCUUUGGCGUUGCGAGCUGCUGAAAUGAUGUACUUGGUGACCAUGGCAAUGUGGUAGGUCCUCAAGUCAGAAAGGGCUGCCACACACAUGUUAUAUGCAGAACAGAGCUUCUCCUUGCCAGAGGAUAGCACAUGACUCCUCAGUGGGGGAAGCGACUGGAUUUCCUCAAUGAAGGCCUGAUGGUGAGGGGGCAUGUACUCCCUCAUUCUGUGCAAAAAUGUGGCUAGCAAAGGACGCAGAGAAGAUGAGUGAGUAGGAUUAAUAGUUCAACACUGUGUGUUAAUAACUAAAUAUUGUACUGUUAUGCAGCAGGAAUGGGGGUGUUGCUGGACUCCAGCUCCCAUCAUCUCUGCCCAUUGGCCAUGCUGCUUAGGCUCAUGGGAGUUGGGAGUCCAACAAUGUCUGCAGGCUCAACAUUUUCCCCAUCCCAGUAAUAAAUAAAGGUCAGGAUGAUAAAACCAUACCUGGUGAACUAUACCAUUUCAGACCACAGGCGAAUAAACUGUGUGUUUGUCUCCUCUCUUUUCUGUGAUCCUUUCCUACAUUGGUAGCCAAAGUUGGAACUUCAACUCCCAUCAUCCCUAACCAUUGGGCUAUGUGAGCUAGGGAUGAUGGGAGUUGUCUACAGCAUCUGAAGGGUGCUUAUAAGGUGCAUAUUGACUGUGCAUAUUGAAAAGGGAAGUGGUCACCUAUACGUGUGGGUUUCCAUGCAACCAGGGUUCGCAAUCAUGAAUGCGUUGCCUGCUGCCAUGUGUUGGAGGCUGGAGCCGUUGCUUCCUUGGCAGCCCUUCAUCCAGCAGUACUGGCUUGCCCCCACAACUGCAGGUGCCUGGGGCCUCACGCAAUCACCAGGUUCUGCACACAUGCCGUGGGGGAAACGCUCUACAUCUCCAUGCCCCCUGGCAUGUGCUUGUUAUGUUAUCAAGUGUCGGCGUGCACAUGGUGGGGUGAUGUAACAUGUGCACACCAGGGCACCCAUGGCUCCUCUACUGUGUCGCCUCUACAGUGGCCUCUCAGUGAAUAGGGUUAGGGUUAGAGUUAGGAAGGAACUGGCAGCGGCUGUCCUCUGGGAUCUUCUGGGUUCUGCACCUGCCAGGCAUGAUUCAGAGUGGGCCCCUUCCCACCCCAUGAUGGAGUUUGAGUCCCACUUCAACUGUCAGGUAAGGCUGAUUUGAUCCCCCUCCUCUUGUUCUCAAUCUAGAUAUUCACUCAUUCCUUCUUCCUUGGGGCAGGGGUGCACCAUUUUGUGGUUCACUUCAGGUGCCAAAAUGUCUUGGGACAGCCCUGCCACAGACCAUCUACACAAACCACAUGCAGUGCAUGUAUGUCUCCAGUUCAUCAAAGCAACAGACUUACUGCUUUCCAGAAAGCAACAGACUUACUGCUGGAUUCCAAGAAGUUCGUCAAAGGUGUGCAGUGUGGUGCUUUGUGCUGCACUCGCCCCAGAGAACACCAGAGGCUUGUCCGAGAUACCCUCAUAGAUCAGCCCUUCUGGCAGGGCAGGAAGUUCCUGCAGCCAAUCCAGAGCCUCACUGUCUGCACGCUGAGGUAAACCUGGUGCGGCCAUGGAUGGAGAGGGUGGGUGGCAGGCGGGCGGCAGGACAUACGCAUACAUAAAUUAAACUGGAUAUAUGAUUGUUUAACAUGACUGAGAAUCGAUCAGCCAGGGACUGAGGACUUUGAGAGUUUACGAUCAGAAUGUGGAAAAUAUGAAAACAACAAGAGGGCAGAAAUAUAACUAUCUGAGAUGAGUUCUUCAGAGGUCCAGAAUAUGGGAAGUCCAUGUGAAAUUUAAUAAUUAACAAUUCGGAUUGUAAUUUGGUUGUUUUUUAAUUUAAUUUUAAUUUUUGAAUUGGAUUAUGAUUUGAUUUGUUAUAAAUUGGAGGUUCUUAAUGGAAAAUUAAUAAAAAUAAAUAAAUUCAGUGAUUUGGAUGUUUGGAGUCACUAAGGCCAUUGGUAUGAAAUUUUCCACUCCCCUUUCUAGCAGGGAAGAGGAAGAAUCCGGUGGCAUUUACCAGUCUUUUGGGGCCUGUUAAAGACAUUCCUCUUUCAACAAGCCUUUUAGGUUGAGAUUUUUUAUCCCAGUUAGUAUCUGUAAUUGAUUAGAAUUGAUUUUAUGUAUGUGUUGUUGUUUUAAUGCUUUUAAUGUUUUAGCUGCUUUUAUACAAUGCAUACAAUUGUUUUGCAUAUGCUUUUAUUGCAUUUUAAAUAAUUUCAAGAUGCCUUGUGGGAAGCAAUUCAUAAAUGAAAUAAAAAGUUAUCCUUGAUGUUUUCACUGUGGACUCACCUCAACUUAUUUUACAGGAAAUGAUGCAUAAAUGGAAUCAAAUGCAUAAAGAAAUAAGAGCUGCAUGUGUGGCUGUUUCUAGAGUGCGGAUUUUCUCAAGAGUGUACCCCUGCUUGUCCCUCUACUCCUACUUGGAAAACGUUUGGAGAGCAAAAAGUAUACAUGCUGUACUUACCCAGAAAAGAAGAUCUGUAUCACACCGUAGAAUAUUGCAGGAUCCACGUAAUCUAGGAAGUGAAGC
Non-coding RNA from Podarcis lilfordi (Lilford's wall lizard), 23272 nucleotides. The record is from the annotation of a GenBank genome assembly. Lineage: Eukaryota; Metazoa; Chordata; Lepidosauria; Squamata; Lacertidae.